This is a long non-coding RNA of Camellia sinensis, 1435 nucleotides long. RefSeq lists it as uncharacterized. NCBI's taxonomy places the organism in Eukaryota, Viridiplantae, Streptophyta, Magnoliopsida, Ericales, Theaceae. The record is from RefSeq and is a predicted model, not a curated record.
AAAGAGGAAAUGAUGCAUUCAAAUUGGAGAAAAUUCAAUAUAGGGGGACUGUAUGAGCAGUGAGUUUCUAGUGAUCAAACUUCAAGUUACUAGUGAAUAAUUAUAAAAGCAGAACUACCUCUACCCAUGCAUAUAACAGGAUGUGGAUAAUUUACAAUCCCCGAAGUCCAAGGAAAUUAAAAAAUAAGGUAUCUAUUCCUCUUAUUUCACUAAAAGGAGGGAGGCGGAGGAAGAAAGAACAAAAGUAUUGCGCUUGUUGGUAUAGCCAUUUGGCAAUAGAAAUAUUAUUCCACCAAAUUGAUCACAGAGAAAAGGUACACUCAAAAGAUAGUACAUGUGCAAAAGAUGAUAGUGAGUGGUUAAUCACCCUUAUUUUCCAAAAAACAAUACACUAGAAAUUUCCUUAUUUACAAAGGCAGAUACAAAAUGUAGUAGAGAGGCGCAUAUAUGGGGUACAUUGAUUAAAGUAACUGAUAGUAACUACAAAUUAUCAGAGCUACCAGCAAUAAACAUAAACAGGUUGAGCACCAUGUCUGUCUACUACCAUCCAAAGUACAUGAGCUAAUAAGCAAAAAACAAGCAGUAUGACAAACUCAACAUAUUAGAACAUUAAUUCCACAAUAUUUGGUAUAUGGAAGUUACUAUAGAAAUAAGAAGAUAAUUGCAGUAGGAAUAUUAGUGUAGAUACAUGGGCCCACUUGCCUAGGUGGCUAAGCCACAUCAUCUCAACACCAUCACCAUGUCAUCUCCAUAUGACUUGGCCUCAUGUGUCAACCUCGUGAGGUGACAACUAGACCAAUGAUAUCUCACCAUGUGUUUGUUCUCCAUCAAUGAUAGAGAUAAACUCUUUUAUGUUUGUGAUGUGCCUCCGUUGGACCCUCAACACUUAUAUAGAAUAUGUGUCCGUUGGAAAUUAAAUCAGAUUUGACUCAAUCCAUAACCCAUAGAGCAUCCACACGGGUUAUUUAUUUGACAGGCCCAUGUAUUUGAAUGAAGGGAUCUUAUCUACUGAAGAUAAGGUUGUUGUAGAUAGCUACACCGCAUCCCUUAUCCAUAGGAGACUAUCUCUAUAUACAGAUAGAGCAUACAUUGUAUACAACAAUGAUGAAAAAAAAACCUAAAGAAAAUUCCAUUGUUCCUCUUCCUGUUCAAUCUCUAUAAGGAUACCAUCACCAGAGUCUAGGAACUUCGAGUGUGAAAUUCAUGGGGUAACUCUAGAUGCCAAUCCGUUGACUUGGUAUCAUUACAUGGAUUCUUAGUUCAUGGUCGUUCGUAGAGGUUUGUAAUUCAAGCAAUGAUUCGGGAUUGUGGGUAAACUACUUCCACUUGAGGGAAACAUUUGGGAUUCACCACUGAUUCACUGUAGAAGCAAGCCAAACAAAAGAAAUUGAUUGCCCAUUUUCCAUGAGUCUUGUCAUUGAGCAAAAUGGAGGAA